UCAGACCAGCUGUCCUUCUGUUGUGUCCUGCUGUCUGACUCCAGCUAGCACUGAAUGCUUAUCAGCAGUGCGUCAUCCUUUCCCUGGCCUAUCUUCCCAGUUAUCAGUGGUUCACUCUUCACUGAAAUAGGUAGGAUCUGUGGAUGCACCUAAUAGCAGUAUUCAGCACUUUACAUGUUUAAGCCCAUUGAAACAUAGUAUUAAUUACAUUGGUGCAUCUAAUGGCGCUGUCAUUAUCCUCUGAUGGAUUUUUCCAGAUAACGAGGCAACCAGAUGUUCAUUUGGUACAUUUCCAAGAGAAAUAUGUUUCUGUGUAUAUCUUUCAUUUGAUAUUUAGUGAUGUUUGUAUAGCAGUGCACUUGUAAUUAAGAAUCUCCUACUUGCUUUUUGGAGGGGGGCAGAGGGGAAGGCAGGGAGUAAUGCAACAAUGAACUCUACUGUAUUUCCUAUUGAACUGUUUGAAACUCUAUCAGGCAGUGACUCAGACUAGGUCACUCUUCAGCUGCUCCCAGCUCUCACCCAAAUGUUGAAUCAGUUUUGUCUGCUUUUGAUUUAUGAAUGCUUCAUUAAAUAAGGAGUCUGCAGCAGCAGAAGGUAUCUGCUGCUGUUAGGGAAGCACAAGCCUUGGAAGCUGGUGGAUGUUGGCUGUGCUUAGAGCAAAGGUCAUCCUCUAAUGGAAAGAAAAACAAAAACAAAACACUCCCAUUCCACUACGAGGAGUUACUGAGCUUCCAAGAGGAGUGACUCCUGUAAAAUACUACCGUGCCUCUUGUGCUGUACAGAUUUUUAUGGUUCUUUACUCCUAUUUCCUCCCCCAGACAAAUUACACAGAAUACAGGGCCUGUGAUAUUCCCAGGUGAUAAAGAAAUGUGCUACCGGUCAGCUUCUGUCUUGGCUUCCCUCUGCAGGGCUGUGAUGCAGAAUCUUGUCUCAGUUGGCGGUGGCUCCUUUCAGUGCCUCUUCCUGCAGUGCCGGCUCGUGCUCUGCCCGCAGCGUGUUGCCCUUGUUGGGGAGAGGUUUGUAAAAGUAUUGCUGUGGUCAGAAAAUUGCCAUCGACGGAGGAAAUCUGGUCAGUGUUUCUCUGCUGCAUGUCUCCAGUGUUGUGCAACAUUCUUCUUGCUCUUGUUUGAAACCGUGGUGCCUGUGCUCCAGUUACAGAAACAAAACAAAAUGCUUAGGCAUGUUUUGGAGUGCACAUGCAGUGAAACUUGUUCUACAUAUAAUGAAAAGAGAAACCCCACAUUUUUUUUUGUUUCCACUCGCGUUGCAUAGAAAAGAUGGAUUUUCUGCUUUCCUAAUAACUGUAAAUUCUGAGAUAGUACUGUUGUGUGGUUCAAAUGGGCAGAAUAGCAGUUCACACUCCACGUUGUUCUCAUUAAAGGGUGCUGUUUUGCAAUCUCAGCCACAGUUGUUGCCAAUCGCAUGCAUUCCCAUCAUAUUUUCUUUGCUUUUUGUAACUCUUCUUCCAAAAUCUCAGUAAUUAGUAUGCAGAAUUUGUCUGUCCUUGAAGCUGAAGGGAUACUCGGGAGUAUUGUCAUCAAUUAUAGCUUUGGGGUUCUCUUCUGCAUCUUAAGGAUAAAAUCCCUAGCUAAAUUCUUAUGCUGAUGUUAAGUACCUGAAGUAAAGUAACUAACUAAAGGAAACAUGCAGAUUGUAAAGCACUUGUUGUCAGUUUUUGCCAGUAUCACUUUAGUAAACCUAGUGGCAACUUUUGGGCAUGAACAAGAAGUGAUACGACACGGGGGCCUGUGUCUGCCUACAUAAAUUUCACUUCUUUAAAUUAAAAAUCCAGUAAAUGAAAACUAUCCGGAUGCACUUGAAAUAAAUGAAAGGCUGACUCAAUGUCUGCUAUAGCC
Long non-coding RNA from Phasianus colchicus (ring-necked pheasant), 1856 nucleotides. The record is from Ensembl. Lineage: Eukaryota; Metazoa; Chordata; Aves; Galliformes; Phasianidae.